CGCGUCUCUUAUGCGCGUUGUUUAAAUUUGAAGCGUGGCAGUCGCUUCUUAACGCUUUUCAACAAUGAUGAGUCUGACGGUGAACUUCAACCGCUUUGAAGGAUCUAGCAGAAAAUGUAGCCUGAUCCCAAAGGCAGUGCAGUCUAACACAUCAUCUCAAAGUACCAGCUGUCAAGAGGGAAGAAUGCGAGAAACUGGCAUGUUUUGCACGCACCAGAUGUUUCAAAGAGUGACUUUGGCUCAAGAGAAGUGUAUGUGCAAGGAUGUGUUAACGGUUAGAACACAGGAAGUAAAAUAUGGAUAGAAUUGAACAUGCUCUCAGGAACGGAGGAAGCCUAAAAGCAGUGAAGAAGAAACUAGGAAUUGGCAAGAAUCAGAUGUAUGCGUUAAGAGACAAAGCCGGCAAUAUCAUCACUAAUAUGCAUGAGAUAGUUCAAGUGGCUGAGGAGUUCUAUAGAGAUUUAUACAGUACCAGUGGCACCUACGACGAUAAUGGAAGAGAAAAUAGUCUAGAGGAAUUCGAAAUCCCACAGGUAACGCCGGAAGUAAAGAAAGCCUUGGCAGAUAUGCAAAGGGGGAAGGCAGCUGGGGAGGAUCAGGUAACAGCAGAUUUGUUGAAGGAUGGUGGGCAGAUUGUUCUAGAGAAACUGGCCACCCUGUAUACGCAAUGCCUCAUCACCUCGAGCGUACCGGAAUCUUGUAAGAAUGCUAACAUAAUCCUAAUCCAUAAGAAAGGGGACGCCAAAGACUUGAAAAAUUAUAGACCGAUCAGCUUACUGUCAGUUGCCUACAAACUAUUUACCAAGGUAAUCGCAAAUAGAAUCAGAAACACCUUAAACUUCUGUCAACCAAAGGACUAGGCAGGAUUCCGUAAAGGCUACUCAACAAUAGACCAUAUUCACACUAUCAAUCAGGUGAUAGAGGAAUGUGCGGAAUAUGACCAACCCUUAUAUAGAGCUUUCAUUGAUUACGAGAAAGCGUUUGAUUCUGUCGAAACCUCAGCAGUCAUGGAGGCAUUACGGAAUCAGGGUGUAGACGAGCCGUAUGUGAAAAUACUGAAAGAUAUCUAUAGCGGCUCCACAGCCACCGUAGUCCUCCAUAAAGAAAGCAACAAAAUCCCAAUAAAGAAAGGCGUCAGGCAGGGAGAUACGAUCUCUCCAAUGCUAUUCACAGCGUGUUUACAGGAGGUAUUCAGAGAUCUGGAUUGGGAAGAAUUGGGGAUAAAGGUCAAUGGGGAAUACCUCAGUAACUUGCGAUUCGCUGAUGAUAUUGCCUUGCUUAGUAACUCAGGGGACCAAUUGCAAUGCAUGCUCACUGACCUGGAGAGGCAAAGCAGAAGAGUAGGUCUAAAAAUUAAUCUGCAGAAAACUAAAAUAAUGUUUAACAGUCUCGGAAGAGAACAGCAAUUUACAAUAGGUAGCAAGGCACUGGAAGUGGUAAGGGAAUACAUCUACUUAGGGCAGGUAGUGACGGCGGAUCCGGAUCAUGAGACGGAAAUAAUCAGAAGAAUAAGAAUGGGCUGGGGUGCGUUUGGCAGGCAUUCUCAGAUCAUGAACAGCAGGUUGCCAUUAUCCAUCAAGAGAAAAGUGUAUAAUAGCUGUGUCUUACCGGUACUCACCUACGGGGCAGAAAUCUGGAGGUUUACGAAAAGGGUUCUACUCAAAUUGAGAACGACGCAACGAGCUAUGGAAAGAAGAAUGAUGGGUGUAACGUUAAGGGAUAAGAAAUGAGCAGAUUGGGUGAGGGAACAAACGCGGGUUAAUGACAUCUUAGUUGAAAUCAAGAAAAAGAAAUGGGCAUGGGCCGGACAUGUAAUGAGGAGGGAAGAUAACCGAUGGUCAUUAAGGGUUACGGACUGGAUUCCAAGGGAAGGGAAGCGUAGCAGGGGGCGGCAGAAAGUUAGGUGGGCGGAUGAGAUUAAGAAGUUUGCAGGGACGACAUGGCCACAAUUAGUACAUGACCGGGGUUGUUGGGGAGUAUGGGAGAAGCCUUUGCCCUGCAGUGGGCGUAACCAGGCUGAUGAUGAUGGUUAGAACAUUGGGCCAUUUGCUAGAAGAAGGAUUCAAUCCCACCAUCAGUCACACACUCCUUCAUAGCCUUAUGGAUGUACUUCACCCACUUUGGAGGUGGGUUGAGUGUGUACGAUUGUGUCACUGUGUGCAUGAAAUCACAAGUUUGUGGGAGGUACAAGUUAUAGGAAGGUCACUUUGAUAAAUGAGUAUGUGCAAGAUUACACAUGCAUAGAAAUGUCACAAUCAUCACAACCUAUUGCAUACUUAGACAGUUAGCAGUGCUAUGUUUUAGUCUAGUUUUUUUUAAUUUACUUAUGCUCAAUGGCUGGAGAAACAUUAGCGCAUGCAAAGAAUCCUCGAAACAGAAUUCUGUGACACUCUGCACAUGACCUAUGGGGUUAGGCACGGGGGAAAGGGGGUGGGUCAAGUGCAUAGUUUCACCGCAGCAUGGUAGGAUGUUUAGUGGGGCAGUCAACGAAUAAAUUUUUGCGCUACGAGUAUGUUAAGUGUGCUCUACCAACUCUGAAAUGCCAAGGAAAGAAGUGUGUAGUAACUUUCACAUGAUUAUUUACAAUUCUGUCUUGGUGCAGAGAAAAGGCACUUUAAGCCAUACGGGUUCACUUUAUGGUGGAAGCCUUAGAGUACCUAGAACAGCUACACGUGACCUGAAGUAUCCAAACAACAGGGUGAUAUGAAUUUCAAUGUGGCAAAGCAUGCUGUGUAAGUCUUAGUUUUUAUUGGUUAGCUUAGCUUGCAGCGAAAUAAUAAAAAGCCAUAAAUUUCUAGUCGCUUAAUCACGAAAUGCUUGAGUUGUGCAUGUUUACGUGUUUUCUCCACACCACAUUUUUUUGUAGCUUUUCCUCUAGAUGUUUAAUACAAAUGAGCUUUCACUUGCGCUACUUAUUUAAUUGAAAAUUGUUGCAUGCUCAACAGUGUUAUAGUGUAGUGGAAGUCAGUAUGUGAACAAAGAAUGGGAAGGUUUAUUUAGGUGAGUGCUCUACACCAAGUUAUACCAAUUGUGAACUUGAAAUUAUUUUUAUCCCUCAGAUAUGUCACCUUUUCAUACCCAUUUCAUGUAGUGAAGCAGGUUCCCUUUAUACAGCUCUUUUAAUCAGCGCAGAUUUCUCUGCUGCAUUAAAGUAACAUUUAGAUGGGCUACAGUGUCGUGCACCAUAAAAAUGUGCUGUAUUCUUUCAGUCAAACAAACUAAGAAUAACUUUGAAUUAAUAUUGAGGCUGUUUUCAGGUAACAUUCAAAAUGCCCUUUUCUAGACGUUCACUGAACAUCCAUGUAAUAUGCACAUGUCUUGCAGCGAAAUGUCUAUGGGAUACCCAGAAAGUGUUCUAGAAAAAAGAAAUGUAUGCAUAGUGCACGCAAAAAUGUAAUUUGGAUGACUGAAUUGUGUUACAAUUUUUUAGGUACAGGGGCCCAAUACUUGAUCACCCAUGCAACAGUGAAAGACAACCGAACAGUAAAUGUGUGUUGUGUUUUUCAAGUUUAUUGCAAAACAGUGUAAUCUGGACUUGAGUGUUGGGUUGUUAUAGAGUGCUGCCCUUUAGCAUGAAUUUUUUAAAUGCUGUCUCUGUUCAUUUGUGUUCAUAACCAAUAAAAAUUGUAGACAAAGCUA
Long non-coding RNA from Dermacentor andersoni, 3639 nucleotides. RefSeq lists it as uncharacterized. The record is from RefSeq and is a predicted model, not a curated record. NCBI's taxonomy places the organism in Eukaryota, Metazoa, Arthropoda, Arachnida, Ixodida, Ixodidae.